GCGGGUGUAGUCCACUGGUAGAACUCCAGCCUUCCAAACUGAUAACGCGGGUUCGAUUCCCGUCACCCGCUCCA
This 74-nucleotide transfer RNA is filed under the name Adlercreutzia sp. Its description in RNAcentral is "tRNA-Gly". It matches the Rfam family "tRNA". Rfam says of the family: Transfer RNA (tRNA) molecules are approximately 80 nucleotides in length. The record is from RNAcentral. Lineage: Bacteria; Bacillati; Actinomycetota; Coriobacteriia; Eggerthellales; Eggerthellaceae.